GCAUGUGGUGGGGAAUUAAUACCGAAGAGGGACAGUUGUGCCAGCAAAUUAAAUGGGAUCUGACGACACACUGAUCAAGAAGCAAAGCCAAAGCCUCCCCAAUCCAACCUUGGGAUCUAUCAGCCAAACACAUCCUAUCCAAUUCCAGACAAUGGAGAAAGAAGUAAAGCAAUUCCAAGUCCAGUGACAACUGUGGUGCAAUUCCAUUGAUGUGCCAAGUGACAACACCACGAGUAGAACAGAGUUCUGCCGAUGCUUGCUGAAAUGAAGCUGAUUAGUGUGGUUUUGUCGAUCCACCUGCAUCAAAGGACUCUGCGGAAGUGCAGUGUGACCAUGAAUUCAAGCUCGAAGGAGGAGUUAUGAUUUCGAGUUAGAACUUUCACUUCUUCUUCUUCUUCUUCUUCUUGGAGCUGAGAGCCCUUUAACCAGGGACGGCGGUGUCCAUUGCAGAGGAAGCUCCCUAAGCAAACCACAACCUGUAACGCAACUAAUACAAUGAAAAGGUCUGCUCGCAAGUGCACCGAGGAGCUGCAGAGGUUGCUUGGAAGGGAGGAAAUAGACGCACACCGAGCUUUCGGAAAGCUUUUCCUUAUCUUGAAGAGAAACUAAGGCACUUAGAAUUGUGAUUUGAAGGUGCUUUGAGGCUUAAUGGAUGUGCGCAGGUGCCAUUAAACAAGCAUUACUCCUGCCACUGGAAUUGCUUUGGCAUGCGUCUUAGGAUAGCAGUUAUCAUAAGCCCAUUUAACAAUCCCCGUUCCGUUUGGUGGAACUCUA
This is a long non-coding RNA of Musa acuminata subsp. malaccensis (wild Malaysian banana), 774 nucleotides long. RefSeq lists it as uncharacterized. The record is from RefSeq and is a predicted model, not a curated record. Lineage: Eukaryota; Viridiplantae; Streptophyta; Magnoliopsida; Zingiberales; Musaceae.